Pelobates cultripes (western spadefoot toad) is the source of this 578-nucleotide non-coding RNA. The record is from the annotation of a GenBank genome assembly. NCBI's taxonomy places the organism in Eukaryota, Metazoa, Chordata, Amphibia, Anura, Pelobatidae.
AAUACUUUGUAUUCACAUGCGGAAUAAAAGCAUAAACACGGCAAUUUACAUUGGAUUAGAUAAAAGCAUUAGCACAAUUGACAUGAAAAGUUCAAAAAGAAAAUGGUAUAAAUAUGCAGCUUCAGAAAAACACAGCUAAAUGGAUAGGAUGUCAGUAAUGUAGCUCAUCGAGCAGCGCAGCUAAAGUGAAUGGGCCUUGGCAGGGCUAGGAGACAGGCCUAGGAGGGGUUUAAUUUAUGGGAACUGGCUAGAUAACUUAGAGGAGUAUAUAUAGUGGCCAUUUUUGGUUAGGGGUCACCUUAAUUAAUCCUCACUUACCUGUUUUGUGCAGGCUGUUUGGUGUCGCUUUCUUGUGUCUUGUAGGUGCUGCUGUUGGAAGAAUGGAGGAUUGGCUGGCUGGUGUCCUUGCCGCUGCUGUUCAGCAGAGAGGUGUUUCCUGGCUCCGGGAGCGUCUGGGAGAGGCCCUGGUCCCACCUGGGCCUUCUGCAUCUGGGUCCACAGCGACUGAGAGAGUGUUUCCUGGUCAUUGGAAAGGCGACUAUGCAUAUGUCAUGUUACAAAAAGUGUCUGUCUUUGAC